GAUCGGUAGCUGGUCUGAGAGGACGAUCAGCCACACUGGGAUUGAGAACGGCCCAGACUCCUACGGGGGGCAGCAGUGAGGAAUUUUCGUCAAUGGGGGCAACCCUGAACGAGCAACGCCGCGUGCAGGAUGAAGGUUUUCGGAUCGUAAACUGCUUUUCUCGGGGACGAGCAAGGACGGUACCCGAGGAACAAGCCCCGGCUAACUACGUGCCAGCAGCCGCGGUAAUACGUAGGGGGCGAGCGUUGUCCGGAGUUACUGGGCGUAAAGCGUCCGCAGGCGGUCUCCUAAGUUCAAAGUGACAGUCGUCGGCUUAACCGAGGAAGGUCUGGGAAGACUGGGAGACUUGAGGGCUCACGAGGGACACGGAAUUCCGGGUGGAGUGGUGAAAUGCGUAGAGAUCCGGAGGAACACCGAAGGCGUAGGCAGUGUCCUGGGGAGUUCCUGACGCUCAGGGACGAAAGCCAGGGGAGCGAACGGGAUUAGAUACCCCGGUAGUCCUGGCCGUAAACGAUGACCACUAGGCGUGGGGGGUAUCGACCCCUUCCGUGCCGUAGCUAACGUGAUAAGUGGUCCGCCUGGGGAGUACGGUCGCAAGAUUAAAACUCAAAGGAAUUGACG
RNAcentral lists this ribosomal RNA (621 nucleotides) under uncultured bacterium. Its description in RNAcentral is "SSU rRNA". It matches the Rfam family "Bacterial small subunit ribosomal RNA", at positions 278 to 915 of the family's 1533-position model. The record is from RNAcentral.